RNAcentral lists this long non-coding RNA (703 nucleotides) under Homo sapiens (human). Its description in RNAcentral is "HSALNT0335496". The record is from RNAcentral. Lineage: Eukaryota; Metazoa; Chordata; Mammalia; Primates; Hominidae.
CUUCGCGAGCGUCUGGGCGGGUGGUAGGAACAAUGGCGCUGUCUUCAGUGGCACAGUGGAGCAGCUCUGAAGAUGCAAAGAUACACGAAAAAACUUCCAGAACAUCUGGGAGAAUAUUUAAUGGAAAAUCGCUUGGUUAAAACCUGACACUUUUAACAGUGAACAGCGUUCUGAGUGUGGACGAGUAGCCAGUGAAGAUAAUGAAUGUCGAAUGUGACUGACUAGCAGCUUCAUUUUGAAUGAGGGUCGCUGUCUGCCCAUUGAUAGAGGCCAGAUUGUCUUGGAAGUUCCAAAGUUGCAACGAUUUCUGGCUAGUGCCACGAGGUUUACUUGACUGUUGUGUGAAAAGCUGAUAAGAAAACCAUCCAGAAAAAAGCUCUUCGUUUUACAAACAUGAAAAUAAAACAUUUAGUUGAAUCCAUGGACAUGAAACCCACAGAUAUAGAGGGUUGGCCCGGUGCAGUGGCUCACGCCUGUAAUCCCAGCACUUUGGGAGGCCAAGGCGGGUGGAUCACCUGAGGUCAGAAGCUUGAGACCAGCCUGGCCAACAUGGGUACUGCUUUCUCUUGCUGCAGCUUGCUUCCUCCCUCAGGUAUGAAGUUAAGUGGCUCACGCCUGUAAUCUCAGAACUCUGAGAGGCCGCGGCGGGCAGGUCAUGAAGUCAAGAGAUGGAGACCAUCCUGGCCAACAUGGCGAAACCCCA